Homo sapiens (human) is the source of this 338-nucleotide long non-coding RNA. Lineage: Eukaryota; Metazoa; Chordata; Mammalia; Primates; Hominidae. The record is from Ensembl.
ACCUGCUGGGUCCUGCACAUGCGCAGUCCGCUGGCGCUCGGACGCCGCGGAGCGGAAACCCCAGCCUUGGCGGGAAGAUCCUGGAGGAUUCCGCGGGCGGAAAUGAAGGUGAAGCGCAGGCCAGGCCAAGUGGCGCUCUGCGGGAGGCGACAUCAGGGCUCCCCAACCGGUAGUGGGAGGGAAGAUUGCCCUCAAGUCCACAGGACUGACUGACCAAGAUCAUUCUAGCCUCAAUUGUCCCAGGAGCCCUUUCGAUGAUUCUGUUUUACUUUAUUGAAAGACUGUUACAACUUUGGUGUUGCAUUUCCUCCAGAAUAAAAUGACUUUUACAGCCUGGA